Molecule: non-coding RNA, 1637 nt
Organism: Microcebus murinus (gray mouse lemur)
Lineage: Eukaryota; Metazoa; Chordata; Mammalia; Primates; Cheirogaleidae
Source: RefSeq, a predicted model, not a curated record
AGGCAACGGAUGUUUCCAAUUCCAAGCUGUCAAUUUAAUGGUCAUAGAAGCUAAGUAGUAUCUAUAAUACUUCAGUAAGUAUGAUAGUCCCCCCUUAUCUGUGGCUUGGAUUUCGGAGGUUUCAGUUAUCCGCAUUAACGGAGGUAUAAAAAUAUUAAACGGAAAAUUCCAGAAAUAAACAAUUCCUAAAUUUUAGAUUUCCAUUCUGAGUAGCAUGAUAAAAUCUCAAGCCAGCCUAUCCUGGAUGUGAAUCAUCCCUUCGUUCAGCUUAUCCAUGUUGUAUAUGCUACCUGCCCGUUAGCCAUUGGUUACUCACUCUGAUGACCAGAUCAACUAGGGUAUCGCAGUGCUCGUGUUCAAGUAACCGUUAUUUUACCUCACAGUGGCCCCAAGUGCAAAAAUAAUGAUGCUAGCAAUUCAGAUAUGCCAAAGAGAAGUCAUAAAGUGCUUCCUUCAAGUGAAAAGGUGAAAGUUCUUGACAUAAGGAAAGAGGGGGAAAAAUUGUAUGCUGAGCUACUAAGAGCUAAGUGUUAACCAAUGAGGAAUUAGAAGAACUUGUCGAGUCAUCUACAGUGGAAGAGGAAAAUGAAGUAAAUUUGGACAUUACUGAAAUUUGCUGAAGUCUUUCAAAUUUCACAGACAGUAAAGACAAAAUUAUGGAAUAUGAUCCUUGGAUGGAACACAGCAUUAAAGUCACCCAUAUGAUCACUGAAGGAUUACAACUUAUACAGCAACACUUCAAUGAAUUAUAAAGAAAAAGACAAUAAUUUCUCAUUACAAGGUUCUUCCAAAAGUUUUCAGCAAAAAAAUCUUCAACUAUUGAGGAUCCCCAACCAUCAAUUGACAUCAUAUGCUUCUGACAUCCAACCCUCAACAUUGUCAUGGCUGAAUGAUCCAAGAUCACCUGAAGCAGAUAAGCCUCCUUCUGAGGUAUCAAUAGAAGGUUGGUAACAGCCUAAUGCUACAUCACAAUGCCUAUGUCAUUCACCUCACUUCAUCUCAUCACAUAGGCAUUUUAUCAUCUCACAUCAUCACAAGAAGAAGAGCAGAGGAGGGGCUGUUGCAGAUAGGGUGGUCAGCAGUGAGGGGAGACCGCAGUUGCAAGGGAGCAGGCCACGUGGAGACAUGGGAGAGGGUCCCAGCCCAGAAGGGAGAGCAAGCGCAAACGCCCCAAGACGAGAAGACUGAAGUUCAGGGAGGUGAACUGACUGGCUCGUGGCCUACACCUAAGAUUCCAGCCCGGCAGUGUGAUCCAGAGCCCGCCUAAGCUACCCCAGAUCUCCCUACUGCUAAACCCACCUGGGGACAAGGAAGAGUAUGGGGGAGGAAGGGCAGCUGUCACCCAAUGGGUGUCAGGGGUUACCUGAGGAGCCCACAGGAAAUCAAGGGAGUUGCCUACAAAGCUCCUUUUGGUCACAAUCUGCCCUUUGGAAAAGGGCUGUUCCUGGGCUGUUAUUAAUUUCCUGCCAUUAUUUCCUGUCUAUUCUCCCUCUGGAAUUAAUAAGGUACUUUUGAAAAAUGCCAACCCAGUUGAUUUGGAAAUUCUGGUCCUUACAAUGGAAUGCUCUGCAGUCAUUAAAAAGAUUAAGGUCAGUCGGGCGCGGUGGCUCAUGCCUGUAAUCCUAGCACUCUGGGAG